RNAcentral lists this ribosomal RNA (497 nucleotides) under uncultured bacterium. Its description in RNAcentral is "partial 16S ribosomal RNA". It matches the Rfam family "Bacterial small subunit ribosomal RNA", at positions 28 to 507 of the family's 1533-position model. The record is from RNAcentral.
GAUGAACGCUGGCGGCGUGCCUAAUACAUGCAAGUCGAGCGAACAGACGAGGAGCUUGCUCCUCUGAUGUUAGCGGCGGACGGGUGAGUAACACGUGGAUAACCUACCUAUAAGACUUGGAUAACUUCGGGAAACCGGAGCUAAUACCGGAUAACAUGUUGAACCGCAUGGUUCAACAGUGAAAGACGGUCUUGCUGUCACUUAUAGCUGGAUCCGCGCCGCAUUAGCUAGUUGGUAAGGUAACGGCUUACCAAGGCAACGAUGCGUAGCCGACCUGAGAGGGUGAUCGGCCACACUGGAACUGAGACACGGUCCAGACUCCUACGGGAGGCAGCAGUAGGGAAUAUUCCGCAAUGGGCGAAAGCCUGACGGAGCAACGCCGCGUGAGUGAAGAAGGUCUUCGGAUCGUAAAACUCUGUUAUUAGGGAAGAAAAAAUGUGUAAGUAACUAUGCACGUCUUGACGGUACCUAAUCAGAAAGCCACGGCUAACUACGUG